This is a long non-coding RNA of Crotalus tigris (Tiger rattlesnake), 885 nucleotides long. RefSeq lists it as uncharacterized. The transcript is spliced from 4 exons. Lineage: Eukaryota; Metazoa; Chordata; Lepidosauria; Squamata; Viperidae. The record is from RefSeq and is a predicted model, not a curated record.
ACGCACGCACACACGCGCACACACAAGCUGUAAUAAUGAGGUUUAAUUCUCUAUCCAAGCAGAACUUGAGCAAUAAUAAUAAGCCCAUCAGAACAAUUUGUUUACUGGCAUCGAACAGACGGCAAAAUAAGGUCCGAGAAAGGCUGGCUGCACGAAACAGUUUAAAGGGGGAAAAUGACUUCAAGCGAGUCAGAAAGAGGGAGAAAAUCUGAGGAAGACACAAGGCUUGGAUGCGUGUAGAAGGUGAUGGUGUUCCAGUAAAAGGACUCUGGUGGCGUUGUCCGAGUGACCAUCUGAAAUUACAAUGGCAGUGAAAAAAAUGACUUGCAACUGGCACCUGCAUUAAUGACCGUCAAUGCAUCCCCAUGGUCAUGUGACCCACAGAUCAAAGGAAAAACCAGUUGCAGCAGAUAUUAAAAUAUAUCCCUCUCUGAGUUGGAAUCCAUCAAUGCUUGAAUGCACCAGCUAAAAGAGAGAAGUGUGGGAAACAGACAGCCAUAAAUGGACUGAAAAAGCAUAUGUAAAUUCCAAGUGGAUUUCUUUUGCUCCAGGUAUCAAAAUGUACUCAGCCAUCUUUGUUUAAACUCCACCUUCUUUGUUUACUCUGUUUCUAGGAAGAUCAAGCACUUGGAUAGAACAGUGGAUAGAAAAAUGACAGAAUUUUCAGCAAUAAACUUUACAAGCAUAGUUAAACAGACACUGACAUUUUAAAUAUUAUACUCCCUGGCAGUGAUAUUCAGGGUGUAACAAAAUGGGCUGCAAAUGUAUCCGUAUAAUUAAUUGUUCACAUUUAAUUAUGAGUGAAAAAGUAUAGUUAUCCUAUCAGGGAGAUGGGCAGCAUAUGAAUUAAAUAAAUGAAUAAAUAAAUAAAUCACUUGCCUUGUG